GCCUCGUGGCCUGGUCCCCACUAUUUGAGAAGAGUCACAUCUCGGAGGUGAGGACCGCCUCGUGGUA
Equus asinus (donkey) is the source of this 67-nucleotide microRNA precursor. The record is from Ensembl. Lineage: Eukaryota; Metazoa; Chordata; Mammalia; Perissodactyla; Equidae.